CGUUUCCCCUUCACAUUGAACCUAUGUCCUCUGCUGAAGUCUGACGAUGGGUCAUGACCCCGAAAUGUCACCCAUUCCUUCUCUCCAGAGAUGCUGCCUGUCCCGCUGAGUUACUCCAGCAUUUUGUGUCUAUCU
Long non-coding RNA from Amblyraja radiata (thorny skate), 135 nucleotides. RefSeq lists it as uncharacterized. Lineage: Eukaryota; Metazoa; Chordata; Chondrichthyes; Rajiformes; Rajidae. The transcript has 3 exons. The record is from RefSeq and is a predicted model, not a curated record.